This 293-nucleotide ribosomal RNA is filed under the name uncultured bacterium. RNAcentral describes it as "partial 16S ribosomal RNA". It matches the Rfam family "Archaeal small subunit ribosomal RNA", at positions 455 to 747 of the family's 1478-position model. The record is from RNAcentral.
GUGCCAGCCGCCGCGGUAAUACCGGCAGCACGAGUGAUGGCCGAUUUUAUUGGGCCUAAAGCGUUCGUAGCCGGCCGGACAAGUCCGUUGGGAAAUCCACGCGCUCAACGCGUGGGCGUCCAGCGGAAACUAUCCGGCUUGGGGCCGGGAGACUCGAGGGGUACGUCCGGGGUAGGAGUGAAAUCCCGUAAUCCUGGACGGACCGCCGGUGGCGAAAGCGCCUCAGGAGGACGGACUCGACAGUAAGGGACGAAAGCCAGGGUCUCGAACCGGAUUAGAAACCCUAGUAGUCC